GUUGCCAGCAGCCUCUCCUCUCCUCAUGCAUCUCGCAGGCUUUGUAAGGCGUGUGAGGGGAGGUGCUCCUUGCCAGGCUUAGAUUGGUCCCAAAGAGCUGCUCCGAUGGUGGCGGUGAGUAUUUUGCUGUCUUGCUGAUGCCCCAAUAAUCCACUGCCUGGGGCGACUGCCUCACCUUGCCUCAUGGAAGGAUAACCCCAACUUUCAUUUUUUAAAUGGGCGCAUCAGCCCACCACUGUACAUCUAUAUAUUUAAUUCUCCUGGGUGUGCCUUGGAAUGUGCGUCCUGGUGCCAAGCUGAUUGGCUGGGUGGCGGAGGCACCUGAUUGGCUGAGGCGCACCCAGGAGGAUUAGUCGCCGCGGCGGUUGCAGGCCCAGCCACAGAGGCCAGAGGUGGUGGCGGGUCCGGCCUGGCCGUGGAGGCAGGCAAGCGGUGGUGGUGGGCCAGCCCAGCCACAGAGGCAAGGCCCAGGAGGGGAGAAAGAAAGUGCAGGGGCAGAAGUGGCGAGGUAGAAAAGCCAAGUCUGCUUAGGAAGAUGUUUUGAGACCAGCUGCUUCACACCUGCAAACAACUGUAGAAGACCCUCUGUACUUGUCCCAACACUUUUAGACAUCUCACAAACGCCUGCAUCUUCAUUAAGGUCUUGCAAAUUGUUUCACAUUUAUAAUCUGCAUUGUAAUUGUUCUUGAUUCUAUUGCUGGUUUAAGACCGCAAUACAAAUUAUAUUAAUAAUAAACUCUCUUUAGGCUCAAA
Molecule: long non-coding RNA, 753 nt
Organism: Hemicordylus capensis (graceful crag lizard)
Lineage: Eukaryota; Metazoa; Chordata; Lepidosauria; Squamata; Cordylidae
Exons: 2
Source: RefSeq, a predicted model, not a curated record